Non-coding RNA from Arachis ipaensis, 4661 nucleotides. The record is from RefSeq and is a predicted model, not a curated record. Lineage: Eukaryota; Viridiplantae; Streptophyta; Magnoliopsida; Fabales; Fabaceae.
UUGUCAAAUCUGAUUCUUUAAUUAAUUUGCUAAUCUCAAAUUAAACACUUAUUCUUCUAUGUUCUAUGGUUUAUUUAUAUAAUAAAUACAGAGCUCUCUGUACGCUUUAUUUAUAUAAUAAACACUUGAUCACUGCUUUCGAGGAAGAGAGCAAGAAGCAUCAUGUGAAGUUGUCUGGAAGACCAAUAAGCAUUUCAAGUCAACUUACUUUUGCUAAACAUAAUAUCAUCUCCACACUAACUUCUACCACUUCAUUACCCUUUUGUGUUUGUGAGAGAUCUCAGUUUGAGUGCACUUCCUUACCUUUCAUACUUUCUUGAUCUUCUGAACAUGGCUGCUGCACUUGUUGGAGGAGCUUUCCUCUCUUCUUUUCUCAAUGUUCUUUUCGACAGGCUCUCCGAUCCUGAGAUUAUCAACUUGAUCCGAGGGAAGAAGCUUAGCGAGAAGAUGAUCCAGAGGUUCAAGACAAUCCUGAAUGCUGCUAAGGCCUUACUGAAUGAUGCUGAGCAGAAACAAAUCAGAGAGGGGCCAGUGAAGGUCUGGCUGGAUGAUCUCAAAGACGCUCUCUAUGAGGCUGACGACUUCCUGGAUGAAAUCGCCACCAAAGCUGCAACUAAGAAGGAUCAAGGUAACUGCCUAACUCGCUUUCUGAAUUUGAAAGAUAGAAAGAAGGUUACUAGGAUGGAAGAUGUCAUUGGUAGGCUAGAGUCCAUAGUGAAUCAAAAAGAUACUCUUGGCCUGAAAGAGAUACCAAUGGAGCACAUGUCAUGGAGAACUCCAUCCACGUCUCUCGUUAAGGUGUCUGAUAUAUAUGGCAGGGAUGAAGAUAGGAAAGCCUUAGUCAAAUUGUUGUUAGAUGAUGCUAAUGAUGGUGACGUGUCCGUGAUCCCCAUCGUUGGCAUGGGUGGGAUAGGAAAAACAACUUUGGCUCAAUUAGUUUACAAUGAUGAGCAAGUGCAGCAAAAGUUUAAUGUUAAAGCAUGGGUUUGUGUUGGUGAAGUAUUUGAUGUUGUUAAGGUGACAAAGACUGUAGUGGAGAAAGCUACUUCUGCUUCUUGCAACAUGAAUGAUUUAGAUUCAGUUCAACAACGUUUGAGGACUGACGUAACAGGGAAGAGGUUUUUGGUUGUUCUGGAUGACAUGUGGACCAAUUAUUAUGAUGAUUGGAAAACUUUUCUAAGUCCCUUCCAAUGUGGAAGUCAGGGAGGAAAGAUUCUUGUAACAACCCGCAUUGAUGCUGUUGCUUCUAUGGUGAAAACUAUUCCAGCUCACAAUUUGAGUUUGUUGGAUGAUGAACAAUGUUGGUCGGUGUUUGAAAAUCAUGCAUUCUUUCCUACUGAUUCCCGAGAUCGUUCGGCUUUGAAAGAAGUUGGUAGAAAAAUUGUUGAGAAGUGCAAAGGACUGCCUUUGGCUGCUCGAUCUCUUGGGGGCUUGCUGAGAUCCAAGGAUAACAUAAGGGAUUGGGAAGAUGUUUUGAUGAGUGAGAUUUGGGAGUUUUCUGAAAAAGAGUGUAGGAUUCUUCCUGCAUUAAGUAUCAGCUAUCACUACCUCCCCUCGUAUUUAAAACGUUGCUUUGUUUAUUGUUCUUUAUAUCCAAAGGACUACGAAUUUAACAAAGAUGAAUUAGUGCUAUUAUGGAUGGCAGAAGAUCUUUUGCAACAACCAAAAGGUGGAAGUUUUUUAGAAGAAGUUGGAUAUAAAUACUUCAAUGAUUUAGCUGCACGAUCGUUCUUUCAACCUUCAAAGAAUGGUUAUGAAGAUUCAUUUGUGAUGCACGAUCUCAUGCAUGAUCUAGCGACAUUUUAUGGUGAAAAGUUCUUUGUUAGAAUCUCUGAACACGAGAAUGUAGCCCAACAUGAUACUAAAGCUCGUCAUUUGUCAUAUGAUCUCAACGACAAUAAUUCAGUCCCGAAGAUGUUGGAAGCAUGUAAGAGUUUAAGUCAUGUGAGGACCCUGUUUCAAAUCAAUGAAUAUAUACACCGUCUAAACAAAGAGGGAAUUAAUCCUUGUAGCUUACUGGCACAGUUGAAGCGCUUACGUGUUUUGUCAUUUACAUCAUUUAAAAUUGAUAGAUUGCAUGAUUCAAUUGGUGAAUUGAUCCACUUGCGUUAUUUGAAUCUCUCUAACACACUUGUCGUGACAUUGCCCAAGUCCUUGAAUAAUUUGUACAAUUUACAAACAUUGAAGUUGGCAGAGUGUAACAAACUUAAAAAGCUUCCAUCCAAGAUGCAAGAUCUGGUAAAUUUGCGUCAUCUUGAUAUUGAGGGCACUGAUUUAGAAGAGAUGCCAAAAAAGAUGAGCAAAUUAAAAGAUUUGCAAUUUUUAAGUGACUAUAUUGCGGGCAAACAUGAAGAGAAUGGGAUUGGAGAACUGGGAGAACUAACACAUCUUCAUGGCUCAUUGUGGAUUAAGAAACUAGAGAAUGUUAAGAAUAGUGGUGAAGCAUCGAAUGCAAGGAUGGAUGAAAAAAUACACCUGAAUGCUUUACAAUUGAGUUGGUCAUUAUUUGAAGAAAGUGAGGUUUGUGAUUCCCAAAGUGAAAAAGAUGUACUUGACAAAUUACGUCCUCACAAAGACUUGAAGAAGCUAUCCAUCAGUUGUUACAGAGGUACGAUGUUUCCGGAUUGGGUAGGGCAGUCUUGGUACCACAACAUGACUUGGUUGGAGCUGAGUGGAUGCAGGAAUUGUUGGGUGAUUCCUUCACUUGGACAGUUACCCUCUCUGCAGAGUCUAAUCAUUAGCGAGCUCGACAAGGUGAAGAAGAUUGGUGGGUCAUUCUAUAAGGGUGAUGGAACUCAUCAGCAUCAGCAGACACCCUUCCCAUCCCUUAAAUUUCUCAUUAUUCAAACAAUGCCUUGCUUGGAGGAAUGGGAGUCAUAUGAAUGUGAUGAUGAUGAUCAUGCACCAUUUCCGAAACUUGAACAACUUCGGAUACACAACUGUCCUAAGUUAAGAGGAGAUUUGCCCACUUUCCUUCCGUCUUUGAAAUCACUCCACAUUAGAGGAUGCGAGGAGAUUGGUUGUUAUCUGCCAAGAGCUCCCAUCCUACGUGAAUUAAAAAUAUAUGGCAAACAGGAAGCAAGAAUGCGGGACCAACCACUUUCCAUGUUGGAGAAAGUAGUAAUUAAUGGAGAGCAGCAGGUGGAGUAUGUGUUAGAGGCCAUGACCCACACCCAACCAACCUCUCUCAGUUAUUUACAGAUCUCAGAGUGCUCAUCAGCCAUAUCAUUUCCAGGGGAUUCUUUGCCCCCUUCAUUGAAAGAGCUGUACAUCUACAAUUGCAAGAAUGUAGAAUUCCCAAUGCAACACCAACAACAUCACUCGCUACAGAGAUUACAAAUACACAACAGCUGUGAUUCGCUUACAUCCUUCGCAUUCCCACCGUUCCCAAAUCUCAAGCAUCUGACAAUCGCAAGACGUGAAAAUUUGACAUCUCUGGAGCUGUCACUGUCACAGUCCCUCCAAGUCUUAUGGAUUGAAAAAUGCCCUAAGCUGGAGAACAUAAUAAGGCUGCCUGCCUCUUUAAGGGAACUCAAAAUCAGAGAAUGUGGGUUGUUGGGUGAAGGCAUAGAGAGGAAGGACCCCCACAUUUGGCCAUCCAUUUCCCACAUCCCUCAAAUUUAUGUUGAUGGGAAAUGGAUUCAGCGGCAAUGAGUCAACAUCUUAAAACAGGGACAUUGAAUGAUUCUUCUGGGACUUAUCAAUAAUGUUACGUUUCUCCUAUAUUUUGCUUUUCUUUUCUUUUUUUUAUGCAAUGUUUAUUAGAAGCUUGUUUUGUUAAUUCAAGGAUCAUACCUUGAGAAUGAUGAAAUAUUUCCCUUCCAUUUUUUACCUUUUCUAUUAAUGCUUUUUCUAUUUUUUUUCCUUAUUUCAAUCAGCUACUUUUGCACCAUGCCUUGUCUAACACCCAAAUGGAAGGCCUUUCAUUACCUUUCUUAGUGUUGCUCCUGCUUGCUUGCCUGUGGCCUUUGUUGGAUUUGCAAGAAACAAAUUGAAGCGAAGUUGGAGUAAGCUCAAUUUGGAGAGCAAGGGAGUCUGGUCAAGAAUGAUUUCAUGAGGUGUGGUCUCUGCAUCAAUACAAAAGCUGAAUUCAUGGAAGACAUCAUCCUCAUACAAAAUCAAAAGAAUAAAUAGAUGAUGUAGAACAGAAUUUCGCCAAGAGCGAUAGAUCAAUCAAAAUGCAACAAGAGCACCUUCAAUGAUAAGGAUACAGUUGGAGCAGCCUGUCAAAAAUAGGCAGAAAGUGUACAAACUUUGCAAUGUUCAAAGAAAAAAGGAAGGAAAAACUUAGUAAUAUAUUUUGACUGAUAUUGUGCAAUUCUCUUUUUUCUCUUAGGAGUUUUCAUGUCUUCAUCAUUUCAUUCUAUUUUAGGAUAGCUGAUAUGAGUUAUUCUAUUUAUAAGAAACAGAGAGCUUAGAAAGUGAGUAUCAAUUUCUGUCAUGAGAAAGGCAAGAGAGCUAGGAUGUGAGAAUAUCUAGAAAAAGCUAUGAAUGGUGUGUGAAUUGAUAUUUGUAACUUGUAUUCGUUUAUAAUGAAAAAUUCUACCAUUUGUUGUGGUGGAGACUAGAUGUAGAUCUCACUUUUGGGAUUGAACCAGGAUAUAUCGUGAUUUUUUCUAUUAAAGCUUUCAUCCAAAAUAUCAUGAAAAUUGUCAUCUGCA